GCGCAUACAAAGAGAAGCGAUCUCGCGAGAGCAAGCGGACCUCAUAAAGUGCGUCGUAGUCCGGAUUGGAGUCUGCAACUCGACUCCAUGAAGUCGGAAUCGCUAGUAAUCGUGGAUCAGAAUGCCACGGUGAAUACGUUCCCGGGCCUUGUACACACCGCCCGUCACACCAUGGGAGUGGGUUGCAAAAGAAGUAGGUAGCUUAACCUUCGGGAGGGCGCUUACCACUUUGUGAUUCAUGACUGGGGUGAAGUCGUAACAAGGUAACCGUAGGGGAACCUGCGGUUGGAUCACCUCCUUACCUUAAAGAAGC
Molecule: ribosomal RNA, 313 nt
Filed under: Escherichia coli
Lineage: Bacteria; Pseudomonadati; Pseudomonadota; Gammaproteobacteria; Enterobacterales; Enterobacteriaceae
Description: partial 16S ribosomal RNA
Rfam family: Bacterial small subunit ribosomal RNA
Source: RNAcentral